GAGUUUGAUCCUGGCUCAGGACGAACGCUGGCGGCGUGCUUAACACAUGCAAGUCGAGCGAUGAAGCUUCCUUCGGGAAGUGGAUUAGCGGCGGACGGGUGAGUAACACGUGGGCAACCUGCCUCAAAGAGGGGAAUAGCCCUCCGAAAGGAGGAUUAAUACCGCAUAAAGUUAGAGUUUCGCAUGAAACUUUAACCAAAGGAGUAAUCUGCUUUGAGAUGGGCCCGCGUCCCAUUAGCUAGUUGGUAAGGUAAUGGCUUACCAAGGCAACGAUGGGUAGCCGACCUGAGAGGGUGAUCGGCCACAUUGGAACUGAGACACGGUCCAGACUCCUACGGGAGGCAGCAGUGGGGAAUAUUGCGCAAUGGGGGAAACCCUGACGCAGCAACGCCGCGUGGGUGAUGAAGGUUUUCGGAUCGUAAAACCCUGUUUUCUGGGACGAUAAUGACGGUACCAGAUGAGGAAGCCACGGCUAACUACGUGCCAGCAGCCGCGGUAAUAC
RNAcentral lists this ribosomal RNA (502 nucleotides) under uncultured bacterium. RNAcentral's name for it is "bacterial SSU rRNA". It matches the Rfam family "Bacterial small subunit ribosomal RNA", at positions 9 to 526 of the family's 1533-position model. The record is from RNAcentral.